GCGAAUACAAGUGAGUACUGAUCGGCAUUGGAUUCCGGGUACAAGAAAUUGAAGCUUUUUGUGUUGGGGUCUGGGAGACGAUCGAAGGUGAAGACCUUGUCGAUGGAUUCGGAUUUCAGAGUGCAGGUGAUCUCGCCGUCUUCAAUUUGCUGUAGUACGUGGAUCCAGGCGUCCUGGGUACAGAGGAAGAAUCCGACUUUGGAUAGGUCUAGGGUGGAGAGAUCGGAAUUGGGGCCUGCGAGGGUGAGUUGGGUAACGUUGAGCUCAAGCUGGCCUCGGUGGGUGAAGCCGAACUCGUCGAAGGGGAUAAUCGGCCGACCAUCGGAUCGGAUCUCGGAGUAACGGAUCUCACCGACUGCAGUUGAAGUGAUACAGAGAAGAAUCGAGAAGAGGAGAGGAAAAGAGGAUGACAUUAUUCGACUAGGGUUUAUCAAUUCACCGUCGAACCAAUUUGAUUCAGGGGAAAAUACUGAGAAUUGAGAGGCUAUCAGUUUAUUAUUAUUAUGCUUCUUGUUAUAGGAAGCUGCCAGGAAACUGCGACUUUUCCAACACAUCUACCUUCAUUUUUCAAAGGAUAAAUCUAAGGGUAAUCCUCCUUGCACAGGGCCCUGUGCACAGGGUGUGCACAGGGCCNNNNNNNNNNNNNNAAAAUAAUGAGGCUCAAACAGGGCCUAAUUAUUUACAAAAAAGUAGAAUUUUGAAUAGUGAUAUGUGGAUAAAAAUAGGAAUUUUUUUUUGAAUUUAUGUGUAAAAUAUUUUAUUGUAUAAAUGUAUGGUUGAAAAUAAACAUAUUAAAAAAAGAGUUUAAAAAUAAUAGUUGUCAAACAUGGGUUAGGUUAGAGCUCAACCCCAACUUUCCGGUGCACAUACUCAAUUUAUUUAAAUAUGUUAAUUUAAAUUUUUAUAUGCAGAAUCGUCAGUUUAGACAUUACACAUGACUUUCAAUUGAAUGAGAGAUAGAUAAAGUGGUUAGAAGAUUUUUUAUUUUUUUGGCUGUGAAUCAUGUGAAAUAUUUUCUAUGUAUAAUGGUUUUUGUCACGUUGGUAUCUAAAUUCACAUAUUUAAAGAAGUUGAAAAAUCUAAAUCUCAUUUUUGAUGGUUGAUAUCCAACUUGGGGAGUCUAGCCCUAAUUUACUUUAAUUUUUUAUUUUGUGAAAUUAGGGCAAGGCUCAUAAUCUUUUUAUUAGCGUGAUUUUAGAUCUUCACGUUUCAAAGGUGAGCUUUCGAAUUCCAAUGCUAAGUUUGAACCACAUUUUUUAGAAAAAAAUAUGUAAUGUUGACUUUUCGAAGUCUAGUUAAAAAAUAGAAAAGCUUCAAAUUCAUAUGCAAUUUUUAUUUUAAGGGAGAGAGUGUGCGGUUAAAAAUAAAUUUGAAAAAAAAAAAGUUGAUAAAAAUGUUAACACUUUAAGUGACGUGUGACAUCUAUUUGUAUAUCGAAGGUUUCAUGUUAACUUCUUAUUUGGUGAGGAUUAAAAUCAAAUUUUUAAUAAAUUUUAAUAAAGUUGAUGAAAUGUAUAGUUGAAAAGUUAUGAAAUCCAUAAAAUAUGUGAUUAAAAAUAAUUGUUAAUUUUAGUUUAAAUUAAAAUUUUAAUUUUAAAUCAUACCAAACAAGGGUAAAUAUUUUUAAAAAAACUUAGGACUCGAAUCAUGCCACUUGGUUGGUGAGCAAAAAGGUAAUUUUCCUUUUAAUUUUUAAUUUUAUUUUUCUUAUCAACGGGAUAAUGAAUAUGACUUUUUAUCUUAUAUAUAUAUUUCGUCACCAAACAUGUCUGACAAAUUUUUAUUCAUAAUAUAAACUGAGUCAAUUUACGAGAACCUUCCCAUUCGCGCGUUGGCUUUCGAAUUUUCGUCAUUCUUCCACUUGGAUUUGUUUUGCAAUUACAAGGAAGAAAGUAGAUAAUAUCUAGCAAGUUGCUGAGAAUUGACCCAGUAACAAACGGUUCAGAUUUAAAGGGAAAAUUGCAGCAGAGUUCUGAACUUUUAAAAAAAGAGUAAAUGGAUCAUGGGAAUUUUUUUUUUUUAAUUUUUUUAUCACAGUCAUUUCAAGCGCAAGGACUUUUGUUUGGAAUUUGUCUAAGAAUCUAUUAAUUAAAUGUCUAAAUUGAACUUGUCCACCUCUUAGGAGGACGAAAUUGUAUAUCCAUCGUCACUUUGAGGAGAGAGAAAAAAUCAAAAGAAAAAGGAAAAAAGAAAAUCAAGAAGUAAAUAAAAAUGUCAUUUACCUCGCACCCUAGCCCGAAAAAUUGUGCCACGACAUCCUUGUCUAUCGUCGUUACUUCCACCACUCAACGCACCCCCAUCUCGUUUCGUCACCAUCACAUCUGGGGUCAUUUCUCUCCCUUGUGACCCUAAUGCCUAUAAACGGGGCAAAUGCAUCGCCUUGCCUUAAACGGGUAACUGUGAGAAAAUGCCUAGCGGGAUCGGGGGAAGGGGAAUCGUCCAGCCCUGUUGCCAUCCCUACUUGCGACCCUAAUGCGAGUAGGAAACGGAUCUCACUUUAAAGUGGAAAAUGUAGAUAGUUGCCCUAAAAGUAGGCAAGUUCAAUCUACGUACUUAAUUAAUGUAUUUUUUAGACAGAUUCCACACAAAAGUCUUUGUUUUUGCAUAUUUUUCGACAAGUUUAGAUGAUCAUGCCAAUAUUAAAGGUUUGGGACUUAUUUGAAUUUUUCAAAAAGGUUUGAAACACAGCUGCAAUUUUCCCUAAUAAAAAUUGACUUUAUGUGACCAAUUGCAAAACUAUUUUAUAAUCAAGGUGCCAAUAGUUAAAGGUUUAACUUUUAUUUGCAUAUUUCGAAAAGGUUUGAAACACUGUUGCAAUUUUCCAUAAUAAAAAUUGACUUUUAGUGAAUAAUUAGUAGGGAUUACAAUUUGAAUUGUUAAAAUUGAAAAUCACAAUUAAUCGAACCGAAUGGGGUGGAAAAAAACCUAACCGAUGACGCAAUAAAGGUGAAUAUGGUAUUUGAUAUUAAUGCCUCGAUUCGGGACGGGAUGUGUAUGGUAUUUACGUCAUCACCCCGCCCUGAAUCGAUUACCCUUAAAAAAAUUAAUUGGGCAAUUGGACUUUCAAAUAUUCUUUUUAUGAUUCUAUCCAACCCCAAAAAUUAUGACCCAUUACAUACCUGCUAGGUCCAAUUAACCUAACUCAGUAACUCUACACCCUACUACACAAAAUAUUAAACAUUUAUGAAAAUUGUUCGUUAAAUUUGAAAUUUUGCAUUUGGAAAUUGGGAUAUUCUUUGCAUUUUUAUUUGUGAUAUUGUUUGCUAAAUUGACAUAAUAUUGUGUUUUUGUUUUCAUUAACUUUUUUUUUUUUAUAAAUCAUUUUCUUUUUUAAUUUGAUGGCUGGACUUAUAAAAAAUAAUUUAUUUUCGUAGUUAUUAACCGUCUGAACCGAAAUACGAACCGAGCUAAACCAAACCUACGUGAUUAUGAUGUGAUUAUGGUAUGACCAAAAAGUUGGUGGUUCGAUAAUGUUUUUGGUCGAAACGAAUCGUUGCCAACCCUACCAAUUACAAAACUACUUUACAAUCAACAUGCACAUUUUUACCCUCCAAUUUGUUUUACUAUUACUACGCGAGCAUAUGAAAUUUCAGAUAAUUUCUUGAAUAGUUGCUCCUUCCGACAAAAGUUAUUUAAUACAAGUGAUGCUUAACAUCACUUGUGCUGCAUAGUACCAUACCAUUAUUCUUCACACAAUAAUCAAGUUUUUGCUUGUUCAGUGUAAUACAACGAUGACUUGGAUUGCGACUUAUCUUCUAUCUAUAAAUUUAUACACUUUACCUACUCACAAUAUUGAGCCAAGAACAUCUACAUCACAUGAUAAAAUCAUAUAUAAUUUCACAAAGUUGAGGAUCAAGGAAUCCAAAUGAGCAUGGAUGGUUCCAGGGGAGCAUGAACAACUGCUAGAUGGCAACUAAUAUAAGGGGAAAAUUUGCGACAACGCUAGCACGAGCGGCAACAAAGGCUCGCGCGGUGCUGGCUCCACCCCCUCAAUUCCCACAUCAAGCAUAAUUAGUUGUCCUUUUGUAACAAUUUGCUUUUACAAUUAGGGUGUGUUUGAUUGAAAGUAUGAAAUUCGUAUCGAAAAAAAUAAAUUCUACGCAAUUCAAUUGUCUAGAACUUAUUUAUAUGGAAAUUAUUAAUUAAAUGUGUUUGAUUGAUUUAUUUUUCAAUCUAAAAAAUAUUUUAUUUGUUUAUUUUUUAUUGGUGGGCAAAUGAGAGAGAGCUGAUAGAUGAGAAACAGAAAAAGAGUAAAUUCUAUUGAAAACAAAAUCUUAUUCCCCCUAAAGAAAAAUUUUCCUUGAUUUUGAGGAAAAUAUGAUCACCUGAUCAAAAUUAGAAAAAUAUUUUUCUUGAAAAAAUAAUGUUAAUCAAACAGCACAAAGUAGGAAUUUUGGUAGAAAAAAUAUUUUUUCAUUGAAAAUAUUAGUAAUAGGGUACGUUUGAUUGCAAGCAUGAAAUUUACAUGCAAAGAAAUACAUUCUAGACAAUUGAAUUGUCCAUAACUUAUUUUUAUGGAAAUUAUUGAUUAAAUCUGUUUGAUUGAUUUAGUUUUCAACCUAGAAAAUAUUAAAAUAUUAUACUUGUCAAUUUUUUAUUGGUGGAUAGAUGAAAGAGAAUGAAUAAAUGAGAGAGAGAGAGAGUGAUUGACCUAGAAAAUAAACAUUACACCUCUCUAAAAAAUAUAUGUUCCUUAUUUUUGAGGAAAAUGUUGUUACAUGACCAAAACUUGGAAAAUAUUUCAUAAAAAAAUUGUCAAUCAAACACCCCCUUACAACUUUUAAUACCUGAAUAAUGAUCAUUUAGAUAUCAAAUUUCAAAUGAUUAUCCUACAGGAAUGGUUCACACAGAGAUUACUUGCAUGUUUUCUAGUAUAAACUAAUUCUAUAUCGAUGUAAUAAUCUAGAGGAAAGCAGAAACUUAUUUAAAUUUGGCGGUGUCUUAAGAGACUUGAACGUGCAAAGGGUUUGACCGUACAGCUCUGAUCCCCUUUAACCUCACCUAGCAGGUUUGGAUAGAGAAAUCAAGCUUGUAGCUUAGGGCAGACACUGGAGCCAGACCCGACCCUGACCCAAGGCCAACUAGGCAAUGGUCUUGGGCCUCAACAUUCUAGGGGCCUCCUAGGGAAAAAAAGGGGAAAUUUUCUAGUGUACCCUACAAAAAGAAAGAAAUUCUAAAAUUACGAAGAUUUUAUUCCCAAAAUACUUGAAUUUUGGGUUAAAUUUUCAUAAUAAUUGGAAUCUAUCUAUAGCGUUAAUUAAGGAAACUAACACUGACUCCGCAUAAAUGGAAAAUCUUUCAAAACAAUUCCAUAAUAAUUGGUCAAAUUGAAUAUGACAAUAAAUUUGUGUAAUUAAGGCUAAAACUGGGGAGAUCGGAUUUCCAUAACAAUUGGAACCCAUAUAUGUAAUUUUUGUACUUCUAAGCUUUAUUUCGUCAUCUAUUAUUUAUUUAUAAAUAUUUAAUUUAAGUAUUGAUUGGUAUAUAAUAUACAUUUAUAUAUCAUCAUGUAAUAUAUAUUUAUGGGAUUUUGAAUAGAUGCUCAAAAACUCUAUCGGAAGUACAAGAGAUCAAGACACUAUGUCGAACCACGAUUCAACAAGAUGAUAAUCCAAUUUUGAUAUUUUGCAAUUUAGUUUUUAAAUGUUAAAAAAUAGUGAAAAAAUGUGUAGUGUGACAUGAUUUCAUAUUCAAUUUUAUUCCAUAAGUUUCUUUGUAUGUUAUACACCAAUAUGUUACAGUUGCUUUCUCAAAUGGCAAAUUCAACAACUUAUAUCAUAUUCCUACCUAGUGAUGCAAAGAUUUAUUCUUAAUUAGUAAAAAAAUGCAAAAUAUUACAUCGUUUCGCAGCAUGUUUAAUUGCACAAGGUAUACUGUCCGUUAGGAGUAUGUUAGUGUUUUUUCUCGAAAAUGUAUAUAUAUAUGCCCCUGUUUGAUUCCCAUUACGUAGGAAAUUUAAUGGGGGGAAUAGUACUUUUUUGAAAAAUGAGUGGUUGAAAAAGAAUGAAAAGUUUUCGAUUUACGUGUAAUACUAUUUUAUAAAAGAUUGUGUGAUUAAAAAUAUGAGAUAGAAAAAUGAAAUGUAAUAGAAUUUAAUGUAACGGGGCUCAAAAAGGGGCUAUAUAUAUAAAGGUCUCAUCAUUAUUAGUCGUCUAGGGCCUAAAAUUUCUCAGAGUCGGCCCCGACUGGAGCGAACGUUCAUCGAGACCUUGAGUUGCGGAAGGCAAUUGGCGAAUACAAGUGAGUACUGAUCGGCAUUGGAUUCCGGGUACAAGAAAUUGAAACCUUUUGUGUUGGGAUUUGGAAGACGAUCGAAAGUGAAGACCUUGUGGAUUAAUUCGGAUUGCAGAGUGCAGGUGAUCUCGGCGUCUUCAAUUUGCUGGAUUACGUGGAUCCAGGCGUCCUGGGUACAGAGGAAGAAUCCGACUUUGGAUAGGUCUAGGGUGGAGGGAUCGGAAUUGGGGCCUGCGAGGGUGAGUUGGGUAACGUUGAGCUCAAGCUGGCCUCGGUGGGUGAAGCCGAACUCGUCGAAGGGGAUAAUCGGCCGACCAUCGGAUCGGAUCUCGGAGUAACGGAUCUCACAGACUGCAGCUGAAGUGAUACAGAGAAGAAUCAAGAAGAGGAGAGGAAAAGAGGAUGACAUUAUUCGACUAGGGUUUAUCAAUUCACCGUCGAACCAAUUUGAUUCAGGGGAAAAUACUGAGAAUAAAGAGGUUAUCAGUUUAUUAUUAUUAUGCUUCUUGUUAUAGGAAGCUGCCAGGAAAUUGCGACUUUUCCAACACAUCUUACCUUCAUUUUUAAAAGGAUAAAUCAAAACCGACAAAGCCUACGAUGCCAAGAAAAUGCGACUUUUCCAACACAUCUACCUUAAUUUUUCCAAGGAUAAAUCUAAACUGCGUAGGCCUUGUCCGUCCAUGUGCCG
This 6922-nucleotide long non-coding RNA is filed under the name Olea europaea (common olive). RNAcentral's name for it is "long non-coding RNA (OEUR_LNC009509)". Lineage: Eukaryota; Viridiplantae; Streptophyta; Magnoliopsida; Lamiales; Oleaceae. The record is from RNAcentral.